UAGGUUGAAGAAUUCUUCAGCUGAUACACUUUUGCAUUACCUAUAGAUGAGAAGGUACCAUCUUAUCCUCGGGCCAAUAAUUAUACGUUGGAAAUCUGAACGGUUGUAGAAUUAGAAAUUUUCAUUGAGUAAUCUGCUUAUAGUGCUCAUAAAAUCAAACUCCCUCAGUCCCAAAAUGGUAGUCACCUUCCAUUGUUCGCCUUAUUUAAGAAAUAUAGUUAAUGCUAUGACACCUCACAUUUUUCAUUCCAAUUUUCCUCUUUGCCCCUCAUUAUUUUCUAGAAAAAAAAAUGACAUCUUUCUCUUUAUUUAGAGUUAUUUGCUUGAAAAUAUACGAAAUUACAAUUAAUUUCACAUUUUACAAUGAAGUUGAUGAGAGUAGAAUAGGAAAAUCACUAAAAAAAUUUUGACUUGUGGCAUUCUGUGAGUAUCAUUUUUUUUAUUCCAUAAUUUUCUACGGUCCAUUAAGUUCAAAACUCUUACUAUACAUACAAUAAUAUAUGUCCAACCUUUAAUGCAAAAGGUGCUUUUCGAAUUUUGUUCGCUAUUCCUCUUUUAAGUACAAAUCAUCAUUAUAUGAUAACAGUGAAAUCACUUAAAUGUACAUUAUUUGAAAGCUUGUUUGUAAUGAAAGUUUACUCAGGACUGUCAGAACAUUUAUUAGAUUAUGAUAUCUUCAGUAAAAUCAAGUUAUCUUAUUUUCCCGUGUCAGCAUCACUGUACUUGUGAUCUGGUCUUUCGGUUUUUCAUCUGUCGCUCAUAUAAAUUAUAACAUUUGCAAAUUUCAGAUUUAGAAAAUUUUUAAAUUAGAUAUUAUUAAAAUUCUGUUCUCUCUGCUUGAAGGGAUCCUUAUUCUUUGUUGUCUCAGUUACUAGUUACUGGCAUUGGGCAUUGUUCCAUUCUUACAAGCUCUUGCCAAUUGAUGCUGAAAUUUUUAUACACUCUUGGAAGCUGGAAUUCAAACAGUUAGGCCAUUCCGUUAUGCGUCAUGCAUAAUGAGACAGAGUUAGAAGCCUCAGAAUGGCUGGUGGUUGUCAUCUCUGUUGGAAUUCUAACUUAUCAUCUCAGGUUCCUCCUUUUGGCUGCUUGCACCAUAUCUGCUUUCAUCAGCCGAAAGCUUCCCUUCUGUACAGCGCGUUGUAACUCUGGCAUAGCUAAUCUUUUCCAGUAGCUUCUCAUAAGCACAUCCUUGAGCUCUAACAAUUACAGCACCAAAAGUAGAUUCUCAACUUCAUGUAUGCGCACUAACAUGGCUACAGUUGAUAAGAUGCUAAUAAAGGAGUGUGAUUGCAAGUAGAAUAUGACUGGGCCCGCACAGAGAACUAAAUAGUCUCGACUCGAGCAAUGACGAGAGCCUAAAAUCUUUUGGUGCAAGAUAAAGGUGAUGAAAAAGGAUUACUGAUGUAUGGCAAGGCCUGUAUUAUAAUUUGAAGCAUGUUUACUGAAUAGUUUUUCAC
This 1457-nucleotide unclassified non-coding RNA is filed under the name Hevea brasiliensis (rubber tree). The record is from RNAcentral. Lineage: Eukaryota; Viridiplantae; Streptophyta; Magnoliopsida; Malpighiales; Euphorbiaceae.